AGAAAGAAGUCUGAAGUUACAUUCCAGAAUUCAUGCUCAUCUGUUUUCGAAGAAGACCUUUUACAUUUUCAAAAGCAAUGAAUAUUAUUUAACACAAGAGCAUACAGAAAUUAAGCAUCUUCCUGGGGAUUGUCCUGGGUUAUAUCCUGACUAUGUGGUGUAUUUUGAACUAAGAGACACCGAAGGGGCCAAAAUCAUCAGGUCCAUGCCUGAGAGUGGACUUCUGUUUGAACUCCUGCAAACUUAACCCAACCCCUUAGCGCAGCACUGGCUCUCUAAUUCUUUGAGACACCAUCACUGUACAAUUUUGAAAUGCUAAAUCAGGCAUUCUAUUCCAACUCUACAAUUAGAACCAUGCGAAAAAUGAAUUAAAUUCUCCUCC
Long non-coding RNA from Pantherophis guttatus, 382 nucleotides. RefSeq lists it as uncharacterized. The record is from RefSeq and is a predicted model, not a curated record. NCBI's taxonomy places the organism in Eukaryota, Metazoa, Chordata, Lepidosauria, Squamata, Colubridae.